CCUACGGGUGGCAGCAGUGGGGAAUAUUGCGCAAUGGGCGCUAGCCUGAACCAGCCAAGCCGCGUGAAUGACGACUGCCCUCUGGGUUGUAAACUUUUUUUAUAUGGGAAUAAAUUCCAGUAUGUAUACUGCUUUGCAUGUACCUUAUGUAUAUAGAUCGGCUAACUCAGUGCCAGCAGCCCCGGUACUACGGAGGAUCCGAGCGUUAUUCGGAUUGAUUGGGCUUAAAGGGAACGUAGGCGGGUUGUUAAGUCAGUUGUGAAAGUUUGCGGUUCAACCGUAAUAUGGCAGGUGAUACUGGCAUCCUUGAGUACAGGAGAGGAAUGCGGAAUUCGUGGUGUAGCGGUGAAAUGCGUAGAUAUCAGGAAGAACACCGAUUGCGAAGGCAGCCAGCUGGACUGUAACUGACGCUGAUGUGCGAAAGUGUGGGUAGCAAACAGGAUUAGAUACCCUUGUAGUC
This 460-nucleotide ribosomal RNA is filed under the name uncultured bacterium. RNAcentral's name for it is "partial 16S ribosomal RNA". It matches the Rfam family "Bacterial small subunit ribosomal RNA", at positions 338 to 795 of the family's 1533-position model. The record is from RNAcentral.